RNAcentral lists this ribosomal RNA (489 nucleotides) under Triticum aestivum (bread wheat). RNAcentral's name for it is "partial small subunit ribosomal RNA". Lineage: Eukaryota; Viridiplantae; Streptophyta; Magnoliopsida; Poales; Poaceae. The record is from RNAcentral.
AUGGGUGACUUUAACGAGAUCUUGACAUGCGAUGAGAAGGAAGGAGGUGCGGCUAGAGCUCAAAGGUGCAUGGACAAUUUCAGAGAGGCUCUAGAUUCAUGUGAGCUGAAUGAUAUUGGUUACACCGGGGACAAGUUCACAUGGCGGAACCACAACAAUCUGGAGAGGUUGGAUCGAGCUAUGGCAAAUGCCCUAUGGUGUGAGGCAUUUCCUGACUUUUCGGUCCUCAACGGCUACCCAAGGCACUCAGACCAUCGACCGGUGAUCGUCCAUACGUCGGGAGGUGGAGUUAGGGGUCGAAAUGAAGGGAGAAGCUUUCGAUUUGAAGCAUGGUGGCUGCAGGAAGAGGGGUGUGCCGAGGUGGUUUGGGAGGCCUGGGAGGCAGGGCUGAGUGGUGGUCAGGGUGGGGUGAGUGCAGCUAUGAAGAAUGUGGCAGGCUCUAUGGUCACUUGGCAGAAAGAAGUGGUGGGGAGAUUGAAGAAAGGCUGA